Molecule: ribosomal RNA, 250 nt
Filed under: uncultured bacterium
Lineage: Bacteria
Description: partial 16S ribosomal RNA
Rfam family: Bacterial small subunit ribosomal RNA
Source: RNAcentral
UAGAUACCCUGGUAGUCCUGGCCGUAAACGAUGGAUACUAGGUGUGGGAGGUAUCGACCCCUACCGUGCCGGAGUUAACGCAAUAAGUAUCCCGCCUGGGGAGUACGGUCGCAAGACUGAAACUCAAAGGAAUUGACGGGGACCCGCACAAGCGGUGGAGUAUGUGGUUUAAUUCGAAGCAACGCGAAGAACCUUACCAGGCCUUGACAUUGACUGAAGCAUGCAGAGAUGUAUGUGUCUCUUCGGAGAC